AUAAAAAUUAUUGGGGCAAUUUCUUAUAUACCCCUGAAAGUUUCCAAUUUUUCGAUUUACCCCUCUUAGAAGGCUAAUAUUGAAAAUACCCCUCCUACGUUCCAACCUAUUUCUAAUAUACCCUUAGAGUUAUAAUCUGUUAAAUAACACUGUUAUCUCUGUAAAAUUACUCUUUUACCCUUUUCAAAUAUACCCUUCCACCAUCAUUGUCUUUCUUAUUUGCCCUUAAAGUCAGGGGCACAAAAAGUAUUUCAACUUUUUAUCUUUUUCAAUAUACCCCUCUACCGUAACCAACCUUUCUUAUUUGCCCUUAAGAUAAGGGCAAAAUUGGCAUUUUAAUUUUUUUUAACUGUGAUAAAUAUUUAACUCACGUUUAACUCAGGUUAACUUAACAGGAGAUAACUACGGGGGUAUUUUGCAAUAACGGUGGAAUAUAUGAAGGGCAUUUUAGAAAGAAAAAAAAAGUAGGGGUAGAUCGGAUAUUUCCAGACGCAUGAGGGUUAUAUAGGCAAUUAUCCCAAAAUUAUUUAUAUAA
RNAcentral lists this long non-coding RNA (535 nucleotides) under Ananas comosus (pineapple). RNAcentral describes it as "long non-coding RNA (ACOM_LNC033796)". Lineage: Eukaryota; Viridiplantae; Streptophyta; Magnoliopsida; Poales; Bromeliaceae. The record is from RNAcentral.